AUUAUUUUAAGUAAAAUCUGCUCCAUGUUAAAUAAAUAGCCGCAGAAAUUUAACUGUGCUAAGGUAGCAUAAUCAUUUACCUUUUAAUUAAAGGUUUGUAUGAACGAUUUAACACUUAAGUUACUUUUUUAUUAAAAUUUAUAAAAUUUAAAUUAAACAUAAAAAUGUUUUUAUUUUUAAAAAAGACGAUAAGACCCUAUUGAACUUAACUUAUGUUAAGCUGGGGAAGCUAAUUAAAUAUAAUUUUGAUUAAUAAUCUAACAAUAAUUUCUAAUAUAAUUAUAAUAAUAAGUUACCAUAGGGAUAACAGCAUAAUAUAAUUUUAAAGCUCAUAUAAAAAAUAAGUUUACGACCUCGAUGUUGAAUUAGAAUUCUUAUAAACGCAAGCGUUAGAAAGUAGGUCUG
This 405-nucleotide ribosomal RNA is filed under the name Neomaso pollicatus. Its description in RNAcentral is "partial large subunit ribosomal RNA". The record is from RNAcentral. Lineage: Eukaryota; Metazoa; Arthropoda; Arachnida; Araneae; Linyphiidae.